This 776-nucleotide ribosomal RNA is filed under the name uncultured Neocallimastigales. RNAcentral describes it as "partial large subunit ribosomal RNA". It matches the Rfam family "Eukaryotic large subunit ribosomal RNA", at positions 23 to 616 of the family's 3401-position model. The record is from RNAcentral. Lineage: Eukaryota; Fungi; Neocallimastigomycota; Neocallimastigomycetes; Neocallimastigales.
AGAGAGAGACAUGCGCGCAUAUCAAUAAGCGGAGGAAAAGGAAACUAACAAGGAUUCCCCUAGUAACGGCGAGUGAAGCGGGAAGAGCUCAAAUUUGAAAUCUUAAAGGGUUUCCCUUUACGAAUUGUAGUUUAAAGAAGUGUUUUCUGUUGAGGUUUUGGUAAAAGUUCUUUGGAAUAGGACAUCAUAGAGGGUGAGAAUCCCGUAUUUGACCUUUACUUUCAACUUUGUGAUACACUUUCAAAGAGUCGGAUUGUUUGGGAAUGCAGUCCAAAAUGGGUGGUAAAUUUCAUCUAAAGCUAAAUAUUGGCGAGAGACCGAUAGCGAACAAGUACCGUGAGGGAAAGAUGAAAAGAACUUUGAAAAGAGAGUUAAACAGUACGUGAAAUUGUCAAAAGGGAAGCGUUUGACACCAGUGUUGUUUUUCUGAAAAUCAAUUAAAGAACUGUUUAUGCUAAGCUGUUUAGACUUUAUCAGCUAUACUGUUUAGUUUUGAGCUUUUCUUUAAUGCACUUUUCAGUUAACAAGUCAACAUCAAUUUCUUUUGCUGUAAAAAAGCUUGAGGAAGGUGGCUUGAGAUUCGUCUUAAGUGUUUAUAGCCUCUUGCCUAUGCAGUCGGAGAGAUUGAGGUCUGCAGCGUAGAUCCUUCGGGGCUAAAUGCAUUUGUGCUAAGUUAUAGCAUUUUAUAGACAACUUGUUGACUAUGAUUUGUCUUGUAGCUUACUCGCUUAUGUUAUUUUACCUACGCUUAGGAUGUUGAGCGCAUGUCUCUCUCU